RNAcentral lists this ribosomal RNA (433 nucleotides) under uncultured bacterium. RNAcentral describes it as "partial 16S ribosomal RNA". It matches the Rfam family "Bacterial small subunit ribosomal RNA", at positions 29 to 507 of the family's 1533-position model. The record is from RNAcentral.
AACGAACGCUGGCGGCAUGCCUAACACAUGCAAGUCGAACGAGACCUUCGGGUCUAGUGGCGCACGGGUGCGUAACGCGUGGGAACCUGCCCUUAGGUUCGGAAUAACUCCCCGAAAGGGGUGCUAAUACCGGAUAAUGUCUUCGGACCAAAGAUUUAUCGCCUUUGGAUGGGCCCGCGUUGGAUUAGCUAGUUGGUAGGGUAAAAGCCUACCAAGGCGACGAUCCAUAGCUGGUCUGAGAGGAUGAUCAGCCACACUGGAACUGAGACACGGCCCAGACUCCUACGGGGGGGAGCAGUGGGGAAUAUUGGACGAUGGGCGAAAGCCUGAUCCAGCAAUGCCGCGUGAGUGAUGAAGGCCUUAGGGUUGUAAAGCUCUUUUACCCGGGAUGAUAAUGACAGUACCGGGAGAAUAAGCUCCGGCUAACUCCGUG